Brienomyrus brachyistius is the source of this 1622-nucleotide long non-coding RNA. RefSeq lists it as uncharacterized. Lineage: Eukaryota; Metazoa; Chordata; Actinopteri; Osteoglossiformes; Mormyridae. The transcript is spliced from 3 exons. The record is from RefSeq and is a predicted model, not a curated record.
AGCUCCACGCCCUACUCUACAUGCAAUUACUAGUUAGGACAAACAUUUGGGCAUUUUUAAAUAGUAACACUCAUCUGGAAAGAGCAGGUUUCUGCCCUGUAUUUUAAAAGCGCCACAUGUUACUGCGGUUUUUAAGGGACAGCAUGAAGAAGUGUAGAAGUCAGCUACUGAGUCGAGGUCAGAAGGUGAAAGCAGUACCUGAUCGACCAGCAGCUGAAGCCUUUAGGGCAGGGAGAUGCUUUUGAUUCCUGAUGAUCCACAGCCCACCUGGGUCCUUCGCCCCUGCAUGGUGUAAAGGUGACAGGGAACCGUAACAAACACAACUCAGCCUGCACAGCAACGGUGUAAAACAGUGUAACGUGACUUCAACAAGGGACAUCAUAAAAGCAUGACAGCUUAUCUGCAUGCUGCACCUCGAGGUCAAGAUUGGCCUGCAAGACCACAGAGAAUUAUGAUUAUGUGUAUCUGUGUGUGUGUCUGUGUGUUUGAUUAUAUGUUUCUAGAUGAUUAAAAGCUGUACACCUCCAGUUAACAGUCUUUAUAAUUUGGAUUUCUCUUUUUUUAACUAUUAUUGUGAAAUCUGUCAUGAAAAAUAUUCUCUUUGUAGUCCCACAUAGCAUGUUACUAUACUGACAGUUCCUCAGUUCCGUUCUGAAACAGACAAUAACAGGACAGUAUUUACAAAGCACAGCUACAAAGGGGAUGUUUAUCAAUGCCAAGGAUGCAAAAGCGCUGCCUUGCUAACUUGCCUCCCAAGAACAAAUUUGGGAAGCUAUGAAUCAUGGGAUGGAUCUUAUUGAUGAGGAUUCAACCAAUGUAUCCUUGAUACUUGGGACUGAGCAAUAACAGCAUCUGGGGAUCUUUGCCAUCCUCUAUACUUCUCUUCUUGAGUAUUCUGACUGUAUUUUGGCAAAAAGAAGAAGACGUCAUACUGGCGUGUGAAAAACAGUGUGCUAAAGACUGUGGAAGCCCAUUCCAUGAAGCUCCCAGCACACAAAUUUCUGCUGGGAUUACUGCCAGAGAAAGUUUGCAACUCUGCAGUUAUUGAGUCAACAGAGCGAUGGUGACCUUUACACACCACGCGCCUCAGCACUCAGCGACCCCACUGUUACUCUACCUGGUCUGUCACUUCGUGGCUGAUUUCCUGUUACUCCUAAACGCUUCCACUUUGCAUUAAUACCACAUCCAUCAGACUGUGGAAUAUCUAGCUGGGAAAAAAUUUCACGGAUUGACAUUGCAAAUGUGGCAUCCUAUGACAGUAUCACAAUUGAAUUUACUGAGCUCUUCUGAGUGAGCCAUUCUUUCACAAAUGAUUGUAAACCUGACUGCAUGGCUAGGUGCUUGAUUUGAUAUCCCUGUGGCAAAGGGUCCGAAUGAAACACCGGAAUUCAAUGGUUAAGAGGUGUGUCCCAAUACUUUUGUCCAUAUAGUGAAUAUAAAAGUUCCAACGUGGCUCCUCUGUUGGACAGUUGUCUUCUCUGUGAUAGUGGCCCUUGCAUGCUUCUGUGAUUUGCCUGCAGCUGGUAGUAUUCUGUACUCCACUCAUCCUUGGCUGUGGGCAAAUUGACAAACUGGACCCGGCUGCUGCAGCUGCUGAGAGAGAGAAGAGAGCAACAUCUCAU